This 287-nucleotide unclassified non-coding RNA is filed under the name Hevea brasiliensis (rubber tree). Lineage: Eukaryota; Viridiplantae; Streptophyta; Magnoliopsida; Malpighiales; Euphorbiaceae. The record is from RNAcentral.
GUUUAUUGAGGGUUUUGUUGAGACUGUAGAGAUGGCGCCUAGUACGAUCCGGAAGGCGAUCGGGGCCGUGAAGGACCAGACGAGUAUUGGAAUUGCGAAGGUUGCGAGUAAUAUGGCGCCGGACCUCGAGGUAGCGAUCGUGAAGGCGACGAGCCAUGACGAUGAUCCGGCCAGUGAGAAGUACAUCAGGGAGAUUUUGAGCCUCACAUCAUAUUCUCGUGGAUAUGUGAGUGCGUGUGUGUCGGCAAUUUCGAAGCGUCUGGCGAAGACGAGGGACUGGAUUGUGG